Molecule: transfer RNA, 76 nt
Filed under: Sphingobacterium sp. 21
Lineage: Bacteria; Pseudomonadati; Bacteroidota; Sphingobacteriia; Sphingobacteriales; Sphingobacteriaceae
Also listed under: 2 other names
Description: tRNA-Thr
Rfam family: tRNA
About the family: Transfer RNA (tRNA) molecules are approximately 80 nucleotides in length. Their secondary structure includes four short double-helical elements and three loops (D, anti-codon, and T loops).
Source: RNAcentral
GCCUCCUUAGCUCAGCUGGUAGAGCAACUGACUUGUAAUCAGUAGGUCGCUGGUUCGAUCCCGGCAGGGGGCUCUA